Molecule: ribosomal RNA, 356 nt
Filed under: uncultured bacterium
Lineage: Bacteria
Description: bacterial SSU rRNA
Rfam family: Bacterial small subunit ribosomal RNA
Source: RNAcentral
GAGUUUUGAUCCUGGCUCAGGGAUGAACGCUAGCUACAGGCUUAACACAUGCAAGUCGAGGGGCAGCACUUUAGUUUGCUUGCAAACUAAAGAUGGCGGCCGGCGCACGGGUGAGUAACACGUAUCCAACCUGCCGAUAACUCGGGGAUAGCCUUUCGAAAGAAAGAUUAAUAUCCGAUAGUAUAUUAAAACCGCAUGGUUUUACUAUUAAAGAAUUUCGGUUAUCGAUGGGGAUGCGUUCCAUUAGUUUGUUGGCGGGGUAACGGCCCACCAAGACUACGAUGGAUAGGGGUUCUGAGAGGAAGGUCCCCCACAUUGGAACUGAGACACGGUCCAAACUCCUACGGGAGGCAGCA